GGGGUUUCUGCUUUUGCUUCUUCCUUAUUUUUUCUCUUGCUACCGCCACGUAAGAAGUGCCCUUUGCCUCCUGCCAUGAUUCUGAGACCUUCCCAGCCUUGUGGAACUGUACACCAUCAGAGAAAGAAUGCCGAUUUUCGCCUAUCCACAAAGCUUGGCAAGCUCUUUACUGGGUAAAGGCCACUUAGCUCAAAUUCAGUCAGCUGGCUCCAUCGGACCUCGAAGUGUUUGGGGCUUAACUGUACUGGAAGAGAAUGUUGUAUACACAGCCCUGCUGCAUUUUCUCACAAUGGGUUCUAGCUCUUCCCUUGAGGCCUUGGGAAAGAACUGCUGGAGUCCUUUAUGGCCAGGAAUCCACCCUCUCCCAGCCAAGCUCUCCUUGCCUCCACAGCACAUAGGAACUCAUUUACUCAUUCAUCUCUCCAGCCAACCAUUCCCCCACCAUCCUUCCAUUCUGCAUGUAGCCAACCAACCUGCCAGCCAACAUAGUUCUCACGCUUUCAUUCAUCAAAUGUUUAUCGAGCCCCUUCAGUGUACCAGGCUCACUGUUACAAAGCCAGAAUCUGGAGCCAUUGCUGUCUCUAUGUGUGUGUGGACUCCAGUGGUUCUCAAACUUGGCUGAAGAUUAAUGUGGCCUGGAGCCUUUAAAAAUCUCAGUCCUAUUCAUCGUGUUAGGGACACACAGAUGAAUAGGACUCCUCGCCAUUAAGGAGAUUACAUCUCAGAAAUUUUGCUUCAAAGGUAGAGGGAGACCAGAUAUUAAAGCUAUGGUUGAGAUUUUAUUCUCUUGCCCACUAUCAAACUCCUACUUACCUGUCAAAACCCGACUCUAAUAUGCUCAGCCUCCAAAACUCCUCCCCAUUCACCCCAGGAGAUUAGAUAUUUCCCGAGUGUCUUACUGUGUUUGUUCAUGGCUUGAUUCCAGCCUUGUUGUUGCUAUUUGUAUCUGUCUCCGGUGAGGGCAGCAAGCAGUCUUUCUUAAGUGUAUUUCUCGUGCUGAGCCCAUGCCUGCUGGGCAGCGGUUUAGUGGCUUUCUAACUUUUGUGAACCGAAGAAUCACCUGGGAAACUUGUUAAAACACUGACCCCCACCCCGCGCCCCCUGCCAGCUCCACCCCCACGUGGUCUGACUCAAUAGGUCUGAGAUUGAGGCUUAGGAAUUUGCAUUUUUAGUAAGUUUCUUGGGUGAAUCUGGUAUAGGUUCUCUGCAGAACACACUUUGAUAACUAUUAUGCCGGUGACUCCAUAAAAGUUUUUUGAAUGAAUAAAUAAAUAAAAACCAAGGAAUUAAAGGUCAACAAAAAGUCUGGGCAUUUAGUAAGGUCUGUGGAUUGCAUCCAUGUUAACUUCCUGGUUUUGAUAUCGAAUAUAGUUAUAUGAAAUGUUACCACUGGGAGAGACUGGGUGAAGGGUAUGUGGGGCCUCUCCUUACUAUUUUUGUAACUUCCUGUGAAUCUAUAAUUGUUUCAAAGUAAAAAGUUAAGAAGUCUGUGGUUUUCCCAGGCCUCAAGGAUGUAGAGUGGUAAGUUGCUUCAGACCACUGAUGAACGGACCUUUAACUCCACCCUCUAGAGACAUCAACCCACAGCUGAGUACAAUUAAUCAUAGACUUAAUUAUCAUGAAGAAAUUCUCUACUAUACCUUUCAUUCUUUG
Molecule: long non-coding RNA, 1653 nt
Organism: Gorilla gorilla gorilla (western lowland gorilla)
Lineage: Eukaryota; Metazoa; Chordata; Mammalia; Primates; Hominidae
Exons: 3
Source: RefSeq, a predicted model, not a curated record